Molecule: ribosomal RNA, 449 nt
Filed under: uncultured bacterium
Lineage: Bacteria
Description: partial 16S ribosomal RNA
Rfam family: Bacterial small subunit ribosomal RNA
Source: RNAcentral
UAUGAACGCUGGCGGCAGGCCUAACACAUGCAAGUCGAACGGAUCCUUCGGGAUUAGUGGCGGACGGGUGAGUAACGCAUGGGAACAUACCCUUUGGUACGGAAUAGCCUCGGGAAACUGGGAGUAAUACCGUAUGUGGUCGAGAGACGAAAGAUUUAUCGCCAAAGGAUUGGCCCGCGUUGGAUUAGGUAGUUGGUGGGGUAAUGGCCUACCAAGCCGACGAUCCAUAGCUGGUUUGAGAGGAUGAUCAGCCACACUGGGACUGAGACACGGCCCAGACUCCUACGGGAGGCAGCAGUGGGGAAUCUUAGACAAUGGGGGAAACCCUGAUCUAGCCAUGCCGCGUGAUCGAUGAAGGCCUUAGGGUUGUAAAGAUCUUUCAGGUGGGAAGAUAAUGACUGUACCACCAGAAGAAGCCCCAGCUAACUCCGUGCCAGCAGCCGCGGUAA